This 484-nucleotide ribosomal RNA is filed under the name uncultured bacterium. RNAcentral's name for it is "bacterial SSU rRNA". It matches the Rfam family "Bacterial small subunit ribosomal RNA", at positions 29 to 521 of the family's 1533-position model. The record is from RNAcentral.
AACGAACGCUGGCGGCGCGCCUAAUACAUGCAAGUCGAGCGAGAAGGUGUAGCAAUACACUUGUAAAGCGGCGAACGGGUGAGGAAUACAUGGGUAAUCUACCAUCGAGUGGGGAAUAACCAACCGAAAGGUUGGCUAAUACCGCGUACGCCUCCGAGUCUUCGGGUUCGGAGGGAAAGCUGCACUGUGAGUGUAGCGCUCUUUGAUGAGCUCAUGUCCUAUCAGCUUGUUGGUAGGGUAACGGCCUACCAAGGCUUUGACGGGUAGCUGGUCUGAGAGGACGAUCAGCCACACUGGCACUGCGACACGGGCCAGACUCCUACGGGAGGCAGCAGUAAGGAAUAUUGCGCAAUGGGCGAAAGCCUGACGCAGCGACGCCGCGUGGAGGAUGAAGGUUUUUGGAUUGUAAACUCCUUUUGUGGGGGAAAGAAUGGAUGGUACCCCAAGAAUAAGUCACGGCUAACUACGUGCCAGCAGCCGCGGU